UCAAGCGAUAGGUAAGGGCAUUUGGUGAAUGCCUUGGCAAUCAGAGGCGAAGAAGGACGUGGUACACUGCGAAAAGUUACGGGGAGUUGUGAACAAGCAUUGAUCCGUAAAUAUCCGAAUGGGGAAACCCACAGAGCAAUCUGUACUGUAUGAUGAAUAAAUAGUCAUGCAGGGCGAACGCAGGGAACUGAAACAUCUAAGUACCUGUAGGAAAGGAAAUCAACCGAGACUCCGAAAGUAGUGGCGAGCGAAAUCGGACCAGCCGAUGGAUAGUCAGUAAAGAAUCAGAAUUACCUGGAAAGGUAAGCCGGAGAGGGUGACAGCCCCGUACGAGUAGAAAAGCUGACUGUUCUUGAGUAAGGCGGAGCACGAGAAAUUCUGUCUGAAAAUGGGGAGACCACUCUCCAAGGCUAAGUACUACUGAUUGACCGAUAGUGAACAAGUACCGUGAGGGAAAGGUGAAAAGCACCCCUAUAAGGGGAGUGAAAGAGAACCUGAAACCGGAUGCCUACAAGCAGUCGGAGGGUCUAUAAGGCCUGACGGCGUACCUUUUGUAUAAUGGGUCAGCGACUUAAUUUAUGUAGCAAGCUUAAGCCGAUAGGUGUAGGCGUAGAGAAAUCGAGUGUUAACAGCGCGUUAAGUUACAUGAAUUAGACCCGAAACCGAGUGAUCUAGCCAUGAUCAGGUUGAAGGUUGGGUAACACCAACUGGAGGACCGAACCCACUCCCGUUGAAAAGGUAGGGGAUGAAUUGUGGCUAGGGGUGAAAGGCCAAUCAAACUCGGAAAUAGCUGGUUCUCCGCGAAAACUAUUUAGGUAGUGCGGUGAGCGGACACCUUGAGGGGUAGAGCACUGGAAGAGCUAAGGGGGAGCGAUCCUUACUAAACUUUACCAAACUCCGAAUACUCAAGAGUGAUACUCACCAGACAGACAUUAGGUGCUAAGGUCUAGUGUCGAGAGGGAAAGAGCCCAGACCGCCAAUUAAGGUCCCAAAAUUAUGGCUAAGUGGUAAAGGAAGUGAAACGUCCAAAACAGUCAGGAGGUUGGCUUAGAAGCAGCCAUCCUUUAAAGAAAGCGUAAUAGCUCACUGAUCUAAACAAGACGUCUUGCGCCGAAGAUGUAACGGGGCUAAAGCCAUAUACCGAAGUUGCGGAUUUACACGUUAAAGUGUAAGUGGUAGCGGAGCGUUCUGUAAGCCUGCGAAGGUGUACCGUAAGGUAUGCUGGAGGUAUCAGAAGUGAGAAUGCUGACAUGAGUAGCGAAAAGAAGAGUGAGAGACUCUUCCGCUGAAAGUCCAAGGUUUCCUGCGUAAAGCUAAUCUGCGCAGGGUUAGUCGGUCCCUAAGGCGAGGCAGAGAUGCGUAGUCGAUGGCAAUCAGGUUAAUAUUCCUGAACCGGCCCGGAAGUGACGGAUUGAGUAAAUUGUAAGUUCUUAUUGGAUUGAGCUUGCAGUGAAUCAGUCCCAGGAAAUAGCCCGGGCUAAGACCGUACCCGAAACCGACACAGGUGGACAGGUAGAGAAUACCAAAGCGCUUGAGAGAACUAUGUUGAAGGAACUAGGCAAAAUACUUGCGUAACUUCGGGAUAAGCAAGCCCCAUUUUAAGGCAACUUAGGGUGGGGGGCACAUACUAGGGGGUAGCGACUGUUUACUAAAAACACAGGGCUCUGCUAAAUUGAAAGAUGAAGUAUAGGGUCUGACGCCUGCCCGGUGCUGGAAGGUUAAGGAGAGAUGUGCAAGCAUUGAACUGAAGCCCCAGUAAACGGCGGCCGUAACUAUAACGGUCCUAAGGUAGCGAAAUUCCUUGUCGGGU
This 1810-nucleotide ribosomal RNA is filed under the name human gut metagenome. RNAcentral describes it as "bacterial LSU rRNA". It matches the Rfam family "Bacterial large subunit ribosomal RNA", at positions 1 to 1977 of the family's 2925-position model. The record is from RNAcentral.